GUGUUCAGAUUGGCAACAUGUAUACUAUAACUGAAAUAAUACAGAGAUUAGCAUGGCCUCUGCGAAGAUAGUAUGUAUAUUCAUGAAACAUUUCGUAUUGUG
This is a small nuclear RNA of Apodemus sylvaticus (European woodmouse), 102 nucleotides long. Lineage: Eukaryota; Metazoa; Chordata; Mammalia; Rodentia; Muridae. The record is from RefSeq and is a predicted model, not a curated record.